UAUGGCCUCCAGCUUGCUAGAUUGAGGUCUUAUUCCCUCUGAGCGGAUGGCAUGGCCCAGGUAAUCUACUUUGUUCUUAAAAAAGUUACACUUCUCCAUCUUAAGAGUCAGUUUGGCUUCCUUUAAGCGAUCCAGAAUUUGUUCUAAGUUAUCUGCGUGAUUAGAAAAUAUAUCGCCCAGGAUAAUUAUGUCAUCAAGGUACACCUGAACCUUGUUGCUUAAUAGUCCUGUAAGGACAGUGCUUAUUAUUUUCUUGAAGCAGGACGGGGCUGUUUUAAGGCCAAAGGGGAGGGAAGUAAAUUCCCAAUGUCCUGCUGGAGAAGAAAAUGCCGUCUUCUCUCUGCUGAUUUCAUCUUGGGGGAUUUGAUGGUAACCCUGUUUCAAGUCUAGGCAUGAAAAAAAAAUUACUAUCUCCCAAUUGAUUGAGUAUGGUAGUUAUAUUAGGGAGUGGGUACCGGUCGUCCCGUAGUGUUUUAUUAAGUGCCCGGAAGUCCAGACAAAGUCGUAGUACUCCAUCUUUUUGGGGCACUGUGAUAAGUGGGGCAUUAUAGGGUGAUCGCGAAGGGCGAAUCACACCCUGUAGCUAGAGCGAUAUAAGUUGUUCAUUUACUCUGUCAUGAUAACUGAUAGGAAUGUUAUAUGAACCCCUGUACACUACUUCAUCAGUGUUUUGCUUGAUGGUGCUUAAAAAAAAAUAGGGCGUUACUGUUAAUGGUUCUUGUUUUGUGGAAAACACUGUUAUAUAUUUAUCUAUUAAGGACUUUAAAACCUAAUUCUCUCUCUUCACUUGGGAAUUUAGCGUCAACAAUUUGAUAGAGGCUUUUCUUCCUUACUUCAAGCUCUGCGGGCUUCAAGUCUGUUUUAGCUGUGUCAGCGGUCUGUACACUAGAUACUUGUGGCAGAUCAGCGUAUAGCUCAUGAGUGACAGGCUUCACAAAUCCUAACGUUGUAUUAUCAUCUAUCCUUACACUCACUUUCAAUAUUCAAAUACGGCACAGUGACAUAAGAUCUUUGAUUGUCAGAUGAAGGGGUUAACUUAACUAUCCCUGAGCACAAGACUCUAGCCUGAGGAGUACUAACACAAGGCUCAAAUAAAGCUUCACUUGCCUGUAGUUGCGUCACUAGCGUUAUGUAACCUGCAACAGAUGCAUGCAGUUGCAAAGGUUCCGCUGCUUGGCAACGUACGGCCUUAUUUUCAGUGAGACCUUCUUCAUUUCCAUCUACAUUUAGCUAAGAUCCUUCACCUCUAGAUAUAAGACAUAUUUUUCCUGGCAUAAUUGUAUGGUUUCCCCUUCUAUUAUCAGUUUUAAGCUUCGUUCUUUUGUUCCUCAUUUAGUUGCAAUGUUUUCAAAAUAAUCUCGUGCUACACGACAAAUCAGUACUCAACAUAAUAUGAGUCGGCAAAUCUACAUCGCGUGUUAUCAAUAAGUCUUGGAAACUACUUUUUCCUUCCAUAUUAACUUGUCUUUUACCGUCAUUUUCAAUAUGGUAUCUUUGCACAGAGACAAUAUUCACGGGUUUCGCUUCACAGUUAUUUACUGCGAGCCCUAAUUCUUUAAUAAAUUCAUCCGUUAAAAACUCACACACGCUCCUGUUUCUAGGAGCGCUGCCACUUUUGCAUAUGUAUUAUCAUGAGUAGUGCGAUCUGCCUAACAAAGUUACUCUUGAGUUAUGUUAAUUAUAGCCUUCUUUUCAUUAUUUUUAAGGUCACUCCCUUGUUCGUUAUAGCCUUCUUUUCCUUAUAUUUAUGUGAGGCGGUUACUCCCUUGUUCGUUAUAGCCUUCAUCUUAUUAUAUUAAAGGUUACUCCCUUGUUCGUUAUAGCCUUCAUCUUAUUAUAUUAAAGGUUACUCCCUUGUUCGUUAUAGCCUUCAUCUUAUUAUAUUAAAGGUUACUCCCUUGUUCGUUAUAGCCUUCAUCUUAUUAUAUUAAAGGUUACUCCCUUGUUCGUUAUAGCCUUCAUCUUAUUAUAUUAAAGGUUACUCCCUUGUUCGUUAUAGCCUUCAUCUUAUUAUAUUAAAGGUUACUCCCUUGUUCGUUAUAGCCUUCAUCUUAUUAUAUUAAAGGUUACUCCCUUGUUCGUUAUAGCCUUCAUCUUAUUAUAUUAAAGGUUACUCCCUGUUUUGUUCUUCGCUCAUUUUCCGUUUUUUCCACUGCAAGUGUGCAUAUUUAUUUAUUUAUUUUCAUUUGUUUAUUUAAUGUUAUUUGUAGUAGAUAACUGAGGGGGGCACUACCCUGGCCUCCUCUUCCUCUGAUUCUCUUACUUCACACAUUUAUCUUAAUACUUCACACUAUUGUCCAUAUGCUUCAUUUUUUUAUUUUUUUAUUCAUGACUUUUUAUCCAUAGCUCACACUUUUCUUAGUAUUUCACAUUUUUUCUAGAUCAUACUCUACACUUCCUACCUGGGGGACGCGGGUUAGGCCUUUAUAAAGUCACUCUAUGGCUGCAUGCCCGCCGCGGCACACCACCACCCUGUGAGGCGUAGAGCCCCGUGCUCCCCUCCAUCCUGGGGUAACAAUCCUAAAACAAACAAACCUGAGAGGCAGGACGCUGCCGCUGCCUGUCACCUGACACCCUCUCACUGAUGAAUGGAUCGCGGCGCGGGUGGAGAGAGACUGCCCAUCCCUUUCCACUCCGCCCGGGAAGGAACUCAUGAAUUCUCGGUUGAGUCGCGUGUGCUACCCAUUGCACUACAGAACAACAGUGGUUGGCCAGAGUUUCCAUUACCAUAUCGUCAAAGUCCAUGUCCUCCGGAAGAACCAUUAAUUAUAUAAUUAAAUCGUCACUAUUAUUUCCGCCACUUAAAACGAGCAAAGCUUAAUGAAAAUAAGAGGCGUUUUCUCGUCAGAGUAAAUUAAACAAAAGCACUGUAAGCACAUGUCCCUAUUUAUCCCUAUACCGCUGCCGCCAGUUUUAGACCCUUCUUUUCUUGUAUUAAAUCAACUCUUUUAUCACUCAUUAAUUACUCCAUAAAUGAUCUCACCGUCUCGUAUCCCUGGUAGCGUGAUCCGGCUUAAGUUGUUAUUGGAGACUGGUGUUCGGGGAUAAACAAGGGAAAAAGAUAAUACUAUACAUUUAUUUAAAAUUAAAUGAAAGUAAUUGCCUUACGCAAUAUUCUAUGCUCAGACGAUCAUAACACUGGCAUAUUCAGCAAUGGAUGCAACAUAUGACAAACGACAUGUCUUAAACAUAAUACUACAAUAUGUGCUCAGUUGUUGCCAAUAAUAAUAACACUCGUCGUUCCACAAGCAGUGGUUUGUAUCUCUCUGCUUACAUCACAAUCAUUAUGUACUCUCUUCACAAAAUCCUAAUAACACAUUCCUAUAGUAUAAUCUACUACAAGUCAUGGAAACACCCAAUUUUACCACACCCAGUGGUUUUACCUUUGCUUUACAUCGCAAACAAAUAAUCACAAUCCUGUCCCACUCACAAUCCUACUUCACAUCUCCUACAUUAUAAUCUCCAGGACAAUACAGUCGGUUUCCCUUAGAUUCUCGAAUUUCUACUCACGAUUAAGAUCACAACAGCCAUCCUCGGCUGAGUGAGUAGCAGGUCUGCUUGAGGCGAGAACCAAGCUCGGUCUACCUAUAUCACUGAUUUCUAGGCCACAUUUUUCUUUGCUUUAGGCGGACUUACAUCCUUGACACGCCCUUAAUUUUCUACAUAACCAAUGGCCAAUACUUCCUGUCACACCCAUCUGGUCGCUCAUUAUGUUGUAUUGUUUUACUUCUCCUGCUAUUCGUGAGUCAGUCUUAAGACACUCCCACAGUGAUUUUUCUGUUAAAUUAUUGGCUCAUAACAUGUCGCCACAACUGACGUCACGGGUCAGAGUCUUUUUCAAUGGUUGUUCACACUUUCUGACCACGCCCACUGGGUAUCUGUUUUAUGUAUCUGAGUCUGGGUAUCUGUUUUCCUUUACCCUCGUUGUUUCCCCUCUUUGGUCCUUGAGAUGCUUACACUGUUAUAUAUGUCACUUUUUUUGUUAGUGUUUGUCCUGUCAGAUGUCUACACAGUUGUAUACCUGCCUUUCCUCUCUGGGUAUCUGUUUUCCUUUACCCUCGUUGUUUCCCCUCUUUUGUACUUGAGAUGUUUACGCUUAUAUAUAUGUCACCCUUUUUGUUAGUGUUUGUCCUGUCAGGUGUUUACACAGUUGUAUAUCUCACUCCUCUGUUUCCUCGUUUUCUGGGUC
This is a long non-coding RNA of Eriocheir sinensis (Chinese mitten crab), 4189 nucleotides long. RefSeq lists it as uncharacterized. NCBI's taxonomy places the organism in Eukaryota, Metazoa, Arthropoda, Malacostraca, Decapoda, Varunidae. The transcript has 4 exons. The record is from RefSeq and is a predicted model, not a curated record.